GAUGAACGCUGACGGCGUGCCUAAUACAUGAAAGUCGAGCGAAGCGGGGACGGGUGAGUAACACGUGGAUAACCUCCUAUAAGACUGGGAUAACUUCGGGAAACCGGAGCUAAACCGGAAACUUAUAGAUGGAUCCUCGCUGCAUUAGCUAGUUGGUAAGGUAACGGCUUACCAAGGCAACGAUGCGUAGCCGACCUGAGAGGGUGAUCGGCCACACUGGAGCUGGGACCCGGUCCAGAUUCCUAAGGGAGGCAGCAGUGGGGAAGGUUCCGCAAUGGGCGAAAGCCUGACGGGGGAAAGCCGCGGGGGUGAUGAAGGGCAUCGGAUCGUAAGACACUGGUAUUAGGGAAACGGUACCUAAUCAGAAAUCCACGGCUAAUUACGUUGCAGCAGCCGCGGUAAUAC
RNAcentral lists this ribosomal RNA (405 nucleotides) under uncultured bacterium. RNAcentral describes it as "partial 16S ribosomal RNA". It matches the Rfam family "Bacterial small subunit ribosomal RNA", at positions 28 to 526 of the family's 1533-position model. The record is from RNAcentral.